Molecule: long non-coding RNA, 836 nt
Filed under: Gallus gallus (chicken)
Lineage: Eukaryota; Metazoa; Chordata; Aves; Galliformes; Phasianidae
Description: long non-coding RNA NONGGAT005128
Source: RNAcentral
ACGGCCGGCUGCGAGCUGCGUCAGGCCCUGAAGCAAUCCCAGCCGGCUGGGAGCGCUCCGUGCAGCUCCCGCGGCAGCACCGUUAUUUGUGAGGGAGAAAAGUGGAUCUGCGUGACGAGCCAGCGGGUGGCAGCAUCGGCAGAGCGCUGCCUCGGUGCGGCUCGGCCCUGCGCGGCUGGCAGCGCCUGCAGGCCGGGCUGUGAAGGGCUCCAGGCCUUCUGGGUCCCCUCUGCGACUUAAAGUGCAGCUCAGAGCCGAGCGCUGGGAGCUCUACUCAUGGCAAUGAACGGACCUGCGCUGACAGCUCGGCUGUGCGGCCCGCAGCAGGGCUGCAUCUUCUCUCAGGUGCCAUCGGAGCUCCUCGCACAGCAGGCCGGCUGCAGAUGCCCUUGACAUGGAAGCAGAGAGGAAAGUGGGGCAGAGGAGGCCUCGGAGGGAGCUGAGGGGAAUCGCUGCUGCACUUCAGGAGCCCGCUGCAGUCACGGAGGGAACUGGAAGCACUGUGGGGAAUGUAAACAAGGCGUUGUCCUCCCAGAGCCGUGUAAACACCACCUCAGAGCGCCCUCAGUGCACAGGGCUGCCGGAUUCUCAGUCUGAACGGAGCAAGGGAUGAAACUGCCUGCAAGCUGUGCUUGUUCUGCGCACAGCACAUAAGGCAGAGCAAUUUAAGAAGGCACUGCUUAAUGCUGGCAGUAAAUACAGAGCUCCCAUUCUGCCCUCAGUUUGCACAAAAAAAGAAUUUCAGUGUGUGUGUGUAUAUAUAUACAUAUAUAAAGCUUCAGAAAACUGAUGAGAAAGUGAAUUUUACGCUGCAUGCUGUAGGGAAGGAGUCGAAG